This 408-nucleotide ribosomal RNA is filed under the name uncultured bacterium. RNAcentral's name for it is "partial 16S ribosomal RNA". It matches the Rfam family "Bacterial small subunit ribosomal RNA", at positions 28 to 526 of the family's 1533-position model. The record is from RNAcentral.
GACGAACGCUGGCGGCGUGCUUAACACAUGCAAGUCGAACGAAGUGGCGAACGGGUGAGUAACGCGUAAUCAACCUGCCCUUCAGAGGGGGACAACAGUUGGAAACGACUGCUAAUACCGCAUACUGAAGGAGGGGAUUGCGUCUGAUUAGCUAGUUGGAGGGGUAACGGCCCACCAAGGCGAUGAUCAGUAGGCGGUCGGGAGGGAUGAACGGCCACAUGGGGACUUGUGCACGGCCCAGACUCCUACGGGAGGCAGCAGUGGGGAAUCAUCCGAAAUGGACGAAAGUCUGACUGAGCAACGCCGCGUGAGUUAUGACGGCCUUCGGGUUUUAAAGCUCUGUUAAUCGGGACGCGGUACCGGAAUAGAAAGCCACGGCUAACUACGUGCCAGCAGCCGCGGUAAUAC